RNAcentral lists this ribosomal RNA (1000 nucleotides) under Nonomuraea sp. ZZY-2013. Its description in RNAcentral is "bacterial SSU rRNA". It matches the Rfam family "Bacterial small subunit ribosomal RNA", at positions 35 to 1057 of the family's 1533-position model. Lineage: Bacteria; Bacillati; Actinomycetota; Actinomycetes; Streptosporangiales; Streptosporangiaceae. The record is from RNAcentral.
GAGUGGCGGCGUGCAUUACUAUUACAAGUCGAGCGGAAGGCCCUUCGGGGUACUCGAGCGGCGAACGGGUGAGUAACACGUGAGUAACCUGCCCCUGACUCUGGGAUAAGCCCGGGAAACUGGGUCUAAUACCGGAUACGACCGGCUCUCGCAUGAGAUGCUGGUGGAAAGUCUUUUCGGUUGGGGAUGGACUCGCGGCCUAUCAGCUUGUUGGUGGGGUAGUGGCCUACCAAGGCGACGACGGGUAGCCGGCCUGAGAGGGCGACCGGCCACACUGGGACUGAGACACGGCCCAGACUCCUACGGGAGGCAGCAGUGGGGAAUAUUGCGCAAUGGGCGAAAGCCUGACGCAGCGACGCCGCGUGGGGGAUGACGGCCUUCGGGUUGUAAACCUCUUUCAGCAGGGACGAAGUUGACGUGUACCUGCAGAAGAAGCGCCGGCUAACUACGUGCCAGCAGCCGCGGUAAUACGUAGGGCGCAAGCGUUGUCCGGAAUUAUUGGGCGUAAAGAGCUCGUAGGUGGCUGGUCGCGUCUGCCGUGAAAGCCCGCAGCUUAACUGCGGGUCUGCGGUGGAUACGGGCCGGCUAGAGGUAGGUAGGGGCAAGUGGAAUUCCUGGUGUAGCGGUGAAAUGCGCAGAUAUCAGGAGGAACACCGGUGGCGAAGGCGGCUUGCUGGGCCUUACCUGACGCUGAGGAGCGAAAGCGUGGGGAGCGAACAGGAUUAGAUACCCUGGUAGUCCACGCUGUAAACGUUGGGCGCUAGGUGUGGGGAUCUUCCACGAUCUCCGUGCCGGAGCUAACGCAUUAAGCGCCCCGCCUGGGGAGUACGGCCGCAAGGCUAAAACUCAAAGGAAUUGACGGGGGCCCGCACAAGCGGCGGAGCAUGUUGCUUAAUUCGACGCAACGCGAAGAACCUUACCAAGGUUUGACAUCACCCGGAAAGCUUCAGAGAUGGAGCCCUCUUCGGACUGGGUGACAGGUGGUGCAUGGCUGUCGUCA